This 303-nucleotide ribosomal RNA is filed under the name uncultured bacterium. Its description in RNAcentral is "partial 16S ribosomal RNA". It matches the Rfam family "Bacterial small subunit ribosomal RNA", at positions 507 to 807 of the family's 1533-position model. The record is from RNAcentral.
AGCAGUAGCCACGGGAAUACGGAGGGAGCUAGCGUUGUUCGGAAUUACUGGGCGUAAAGCGCACGUAGGCGGUCUGACAAGUCAGAUGUGAAAUCCCCGGGCUUAACCUGGGAACUGCAUUUGAAACUGUCAGGCUGGAGUCUUGUAGAGGGGGGUAGAAUUCCAGGUGUAGCGGUGAAAUGCGUAGAGAUCUGGAGGAAUACCGGUGGCGAAGGCGGCCCCCUGGACAAAGACUGACGCUCAGGUGCGAAAGCGUGGGGAGCAAACAGGAUUAGAUACCCGUGUAGUCCCUGUCUCUUAUAC